This is a transfer RNA of Rheinheimera nanhaiensis E407-8, 73 nucleotides long. It matches the Rfam family "tRNA". Rfam says of the family: Transfer RNA (tRNA) molecules are approximately 80 nucleotides in length. Their secondary structure includes four short double-helical elements and three loops (D, anti-codon, and T loops). Lineage: Bacteria; Pseudomonadati; Pseudomonadota; Gammaproteobacteria; Chromatiales; Chromatiaceae. The record is from Rfam.
GUGGUUGUAGCUCAGUUGGUAGAGCCCCGGAUUGUGAUUCCGGUUGUCGUGGGUUCGAGCCCCAUCAUCCACC